Rattus norvegicus (Norway rat) is the source of this 1979-nucleotide non-coding RNA. NCBI's taxonomy places the organism in Eukaryota, Metazoa, Chordata, Mammalia, Rodentia, Muridae. The record is from RefSeq and is a predicted model, not a curated record.
CCAUCCCUCUCAGGCAGCCCUUGUCCCCUGCUGGCUCCAGAAGGGUAGCAUAGGCCCAGGAGCUGCAGACAUGGACAGAAACGAGGUCCACCGGGCUCAGGGUGUGGGAAGCUCUGUGGUAACUUCCUGAGUGGUUGUCUUCAAAUGGCCCAGGAAGCGCAGGAUCCCAGUGUAUGCAGCAGCUGUCCCGACCUGGUGUCCAGAGUGACCCAGCAGCUCCAUGCAGCAGGCUCCAGAGUUUAGCCACAGAGUUUAGACCGGUGGGCCCCAGGCAGCGGUUGCAUCAGCCUCACUGGUGCACAGGCAAAUGGAGUCAGACCCAACACCCAACUGUUCUCUCAGCUCCGCCCCACCUCUGACCCUCCCUAGCUCCUCAUCCGUACCUAGACACCCAGGAACCCACAUCUUCAACCCUCACAGCAGCUGUUUCAACGCCCUGUAGGCCAUUCUUAGCAAGGCAGCCCAAGUAUAUCCUUGGUCCCUUCAGGAGCUUCUGUGACACUCAGAGAACCACAGUCCUUAUCACGGCCUCUGGGGCAGUACUUAAUGUGGGCCUGUGUGUCCUUGUCCAAACAGACACACUGACAGACUCCAUCCACUCUGCGAGUCAGCCUCCUUCCCUGACACGAUGCUCCUUGCUGCUCCACAGUGCCAUGUGCUUCCUUUAUUAAGCCACCUGUGCCCUCCACCCAUAAUGCCCUGCCGUCACCAGCCACCCGUAGGCUUCACUACUUGGGUCCACAGAACAGGCUGUACUAAGCAGACUGAGCAAGGCAAGGUGAGUUUCAGAUGACAAGAUGAUACCAGCUAAGCCAGGGUUUGGCAGUGCCGGACUCAUGUACUUUCAGCAUUUCUUUCCACAGUCACCUCUUCAGGUGACACUGGGGGACAGAGACUUGUAGUCAGGUACGUGAGCUCUCAGCACUCAGGAAGUCCAGCCAGGGACCCAUCUGAGGGACCGAGUUUGUGACCAGGUUACUGGGUACAUUCUCUGCAGAAUGGCAGGGCAAUAACCAGCUCUGGCCAGCCACUGGCCCAGAUGGACUCGUCCCCAGUCUCCAGCCCAGGUGUCCCCUCCCCAGACGGCUGCUCGUGUCCUUUCUCCCUCCCACGUUUCUCCCCUGGCAUUUUCUGCAGGGACAGUGCAGAGACCUUGCACAUCUUGUUGUGCAUGGCCAGCAUCCCGGCGUGCAGACAGAAAGAGGCCACCCUGGCCAUUAAGGAGUGGGCAUCACUGUGGCCUGUAAGGAUGGAUGGCUAGGGUAGAUAUGCCCCGGGACAAUGAGGGGCUUCCAGCAUACUCUUCAUCCUGCGCAGGGGGGAAAGCAAGACGGGGCAGCCACUGUCAAGCCUAAGCAGGGCUGGGUUUGCGUGUUUAUGAGUACACGUGUUUGCCUGCAUGCUGGGUUUGUGCAGAACAUCUGUACAGCACCCACAGUGCCAGAAGAGGGCUCCGGAGCCCCUGUGACUGGAGUUGUAAGAUGGUUGUGAGCUGUCGCAUGGGCUCUGGAAACAAAACCCAAGUCCUCUGGAAGAGCAGCCAGUUCUCCUACCCAGCCUGGAGCUGCACCUCAGAAGUACUCAUCUGCCUGGUGCUGCCCCCAACCAUGUGAAAAUGAAACUGUCUCAGAGACCUGUGUGGAGACACAUCAGUCCAUCAGCAGACACACCUUCCCCCUCUGGACCCCAGUGUCUCAAUCUGACAGGAAGCCAAUGCGCCGCUGGCCACCCUGGGGGAGGGCAGAAGCCCAAUGGCGGCCUCAAAGCCUCAGCGUUAACUGCAUGCUUUUUAAGUUUUAUGUGCUGCAUCUGUGUGUGUGUGUGUGUGUGUGUGUGUGUGUGUGUGUGUGUCCCUGUGAUGUAUGCAUGCAUGGCUAUACACGUUUGUGGAGGCCUGAGGUUGACACUGUCUUCUUCAAUUGCUCCCCACUUUUUUUAUUUAAUAAUAUUAUUAAUAAAUAUUAUUAUUUGUAAUAGUA